RNAcentral lists this long non-coding RNA (235 nucleotides) under Olea europaea (common olive). RNAcentral's name for it is "long non-coding RNA (OEUR_LNC004425)". The record is from RNAcentral. Lineage: Eukaryota; Viridiplantae; Streptophyta; Magnoliopsida; Lamiales; Oleaceae.
UAUCCAAUGGUUGAUAACUAACCACAUGACUUGGAUCUGACACAUAUUGUCGAAGCAUUGACACGUGGAACACAUCAUGAACCGCUGACAAUUCUGGUGGUAGAGCGAUUCGAUAAGCUGCAUUUCCAACUUUCUGCAAAAUUUCAAAAGGACCUAUGAAUCUUGGUCGAAGUUUUCCUUUCUUCCCAAAACGCAGAACUCCCUUCAUCGGCGCCACUUUUAUGAAAACUUUGUC